GUGAGGGUACUCUGCCGGUUUUGCUGCGGAAGUCACCUCGUGGCGUAGGGGAGAGGUAACACCGAGAAGAGGCAGCGGCGGUGGCGCCAAGACGAUUGGUGCCAAACAGGGCAGAACGCAACUCAGCUCUGGGGUGGGUUCCUGUCCAGAGGGGUAGAGAAGAGUGGCUGAGGGCGCGCCCUGAUCUCAGCGGGAAGAGUGCGACCCCGAGGGCGCGCUAGUUUGUGAAUAGCACAAUGGAAGAAGCUGGACUUUGUGGGUUAAGAGAGAAAGCAGAUAUGUUGUGUAACUCUGAAUCACAUGAUAUUCUUCAACAUCAAGACUCAAAUUGCAGUGCCACAAGUAAUAAACAUUUAUUGGAAGAUGAAGAAGGCCGUGACUUUAUAACAAAGAACAGGAGUUGGGUGAGCCCAGUGCACUGCACACAAGAGUCAAGAAGGGAGCUUCCUGAGCAAGAAGUAGCCCCUCCGUCUGGUCAGCAAGCUUUACAAUGCAACAGGAACAAAGAAAAAGUCUUAGAGAGACAAGGUCUUUCCCUGUCACCCAGGCUGGAGCGCGGUGGUACAUUCAUGGGUCAUGGCAGCCUUAAACUCCCUGAGCUCGUGAUCCUGUCUCUUCAGACUCUAGAGUAGCUGGGGCUACAGGCGUACACCACCACACAUGGCUAAUUUUUUAUUUUUCUUUUGUUGUAGAGAUGGGCUGUCAUUCUCUUGCCCAGGCUGGUCUUGGUAUACUGUCCUGUAGCAGUAUAUUUUGGCUACCUGUACUGGCAUUGGCUUUUCCAAGUGUCAAGAUUACAGGUGUGAGCUAGUAUACCCUGCCCAGUGUUUCUUUCUUACUUGGCUUUGGUGUGAAUGAGAAAAGAAUUUAGUACUAAAAUUUUAUGUGCAUACAGAAGCAUUAUUUGAAGUCAGCCUGUUUUCCCUCAACCUCUAGUACUCUGUAAAGUAUACCAAAAGUCAAGGUUUUAAAGAACUGUGUUACAUAUUAGAGAGAACAAAUCAAAAGUUACCUAUCUCCAUCGUUACCAGUAGAACAUUAGUAUGUAUUUUGAAGCACCAUUUGACUCUUUCUAUUUCAGCUACUUGCUUGUCCCUUGCAAAGUUAUUAUAGUACUCUUUUAAAACUUUUCUUCAAGGGAAGAGCUAUUUUGACUUCCUUUUCUUUGAUCUAAACCUAACACCCAGAAUAUGCUUAGCAGAUCAUCCCAAAACAAUCAUAACUUGUUUAAAUUGUUCAUAGCAAAAGUUACAUAUUAUAAAGAGUUAUGAGUGUCUUAGGCAGUGAAUAGUAACUGAAUAUCCUUUUAUAGUUGUCCUUCACUAGCAGGAAGCCUUAUUCCCUGCCCUUUUACAUAUCUUAACUUAGAAUGUUACUGUCUAAAUAGUGGUUAGGCAAGAGUAGUUCUUAAACGUGCAGUAAUUAUCUUGCACUACAUUUAAGGGCUAAAUAGCUAGUAGUGGUGCUUGAUAAUUGAAGAAAUUUGUACAGCUGGAGGAAGUACCUGCUAAAUUUUCAAAAGUUACCUGAAUUUAAUAGGUAAAUCUGUUUUUAAUUAGAGCUAUAUCAUUUUACUCUGAAUGUCUUAACAUAGAAGUUUACAUAAAAUUUACAGAUUGGAUUGAUUUCAGCCUUCUUCUGGUACUUUUUAAAAUCUUAUUAAUCAUUAGGAAAAGAAGUUUUAUUAUUGAUGCAAGCCCUAAACACUCUUUCGACUCCAGAGGAGAAGCUGGCAGCUCUCUGUAAGAAAUAUGCUGAUCUUGUGAGUAUUUAUUUAAUGGAGCAAGGAACACAGAAAAUAAAAUCUAUGUGUGCUUGAUAAGAUUUUUAAAUAUUAUUUUGAUGUAACUUUAAAUGUAAAAUGAUAUUUUAUCUCAAAAUUGAAAACAAUCUCCUUUCUUUAGUACUUAUGAUUGGUGUGUGUGACUUCAUCUUAUGAAAUGAUGUAUAGAACAUAAUAAUACUUUUUUAAAUGUGAAAUAAAUUUCCUAAAACUUAAUAUGCUAGAUCAGCAGUUUUUUUUUUUUGUAUGCUUAAGAUGCCUGACAAUUGGGAGGAAGUGGUUUCUGUAUUUAAAAUUUUCCGAAGGAAUUCUGCAGAUUCAAGCUCUAACCAUUCUUGAUUAAAAUUGUGAGUUAGAUAAGAUUGUUUAGUAAAAUUGUACUAUGGCUCAGGAAAUAUUUAUUUAAUAUCUACUGUAUGCCAAGCAUUGUUCUUUUUUCCAUCUUCCAGGGAAAUUCACCUCUUCUAUAGAAGAGUUUGUUUUGAACUAUACGAUUUGAAACAAAAUUCUUUUUUUGGAGACUAUGGAAACAUUCUCAACAGGGAAACCCUACUAGACUUUGUAAAGCAAAUAAUGGAAAAGAUACAGAACUUUUUGAAGAAUCAUGGGAAAUUUUUAUAAUUAAAUAAAUGCUAAAAUUCUGUUUUGUGAAACAUUUAUGGGAAUUAUCACUGACAGUUUUUGUACACUUUCAAAUAGUGUUAAAGCAGCAACUCCAUGUUGUAAAUGCACAAAACAAAUAUUUAGUUAAUAAUCAACUCCAAGAAUAAAGCUGUAACAAUAAUA
Molecule: long non-coding RNA, 2569 nt
Organism: Homo sapiens (human)
Lineage: Eukaryota; Metazoa; Chordata; Mammalia; Primates; Hominidae
Gene: TXLNGY
Product: taxilin gamma Y-linked (pseudogene)
Source: Ensembl